CACAUCCUGGUAGGACUAAUUCUUCUAGCGAGAUUUUUUCUCAUAUACAAGACUCGAACUCAAGAUCUUGCGGAAGAUGAAUCAAACAUAUACCACUUAAGCUUAUCACUCAUUGGUAAAUAAUAAUGUUGUUUGAUGCGCUUAUAAAAAAACAAUGUUGUUUGAUGCAAUUUUUUUAAUAAAAUAUAAUAAAGGUCAAAAUCAUACAAUUGUAUUUUUUUGAUGCACCAUAAUAUCAUUUAUAAGAGAUAAUUAUGUUCGAGUAGAAAUAUUCACAUCAUUAUAGGGCCAGCUCUCCCAAUAAAAAAAAAUCAUUCACAAGACUCAAAUAUAAGAUAUUGUUUAAGGGAUAUCAUAUAAUUGCAUAUAUAACAAUUAAAAUCAUUUCAAAAACGUUAUCUUAAUUGUCUGUUUAUAUUAUAUGGUCAAUUAGAACAUGCUCCUACUUGAUGGAUUCCUGGAAUAUUUUUUGGUUUUGUUUGGAGGGAUACACUCUUGUGCUUGAUGUUUAAUUUAUGUACUACAAGAAAACAAUAGAAGUGAGAGCCAUGGCCCAUGGAUAGAUUUUAUUAUUUUAAAAAUAAUUAAGACGUUAUUAAUAUAAGAUGAUGUGGAUUUAAAAAAAAAAGAUGAUGUGAGAUUUAUGUAAAAUGUUAUUUUCCGGUAAUUAUGUAAGCCUUAUUGAACCUUCAAAAAUAAAAUAAAAAUGUAAGCCUUAUUGAAAAGUAAAAAAACGUCCUGGACCACUUUAGCGCUAGUGUCAGUGUGUCAUGUUGAUGUAAUGGCAGAAGGGGAAAAUUGUAAAAUCCAAUUUUCACAAUUAAGAAUGUCCGUUAAAUUGUAUCCUAAACAAGGGACAAAAUCAUAUGCUUGUCAAAUUAUCAAGCAAUCGAAGAAUUAACUCUUGAUGUAGCAGCAAAAACAACGCCCAAAGAUGUUAUCAGUCUUCCUCAGUGUUAACAUAAUGCAUUUAGUCGAAAGUUUGAUGGAGAAUAAUUUGUUGAGAAGAGCCUACUCAUUUAAUAUGAUCUCCAAGUCUCGAGGAGAUUAAUAUUAAGAUUGCCGAUUGAAAAGAUACAGUGGAGCGACCAAAAAGAAAUACUUUUACACUAAGUUCAAAAUCAGAUCCACAGAAAAGUUUCAAUAAAUAGCUUUAAGAUGCAAUAAUUGACUGAGAAAAAAAUAAAUUCAUCCAAGCAUGAUAAUAAUAUGAACAGGGAACACUUGCCACGCAUUGGCUAGGACUUAUUACUAUUAGCAGCAUCUCAUGAACAUCUAAUCAAUUAAGUUCCAGAUUGGUGGGAUGCAGACAAAGUAGUGGACAACAUACCCAAAAUGGAAGUUUCAUAGAACGGCAAAGGUUUGGUAAUUAGGUUAAUCCAUGAACGUGACAUAUAUUAUUUUUUAUACAAACGAACCCAUCCGGCAAAACAAAAGAAAUUGUCCCUACCUUUCUUCAUAUUUAAAUGCAGGUGCAAAAGGGAAGACAAAAGAGGGGAUAAAUAGAUAAAUAACAUUGCAGGGUUGUACUUGCCAGCAGACGGAACACAAGAGUGUCUUAGAGAUGACAAUCUAAACAAACAAUCUUUUAAGGAACACAAGAGUGUCUUAGAGAUGACAAUCUAAACAAACAAUCUUUUAAGGAACACAAGAGUGCCUUAGAGAUGAUGAUCUAAACAAAUUUAAUCUUUUAUCGUUUUACCAUUUAAUUUUAGCCAACAGCGAAAAAGGAAAAAAGGAAUUUUUGCAACAAAGGAAAUUUAUUAUGAAAAGAAUUAUGCUUGAACUAUCAUAUUUUAUAAUUCUGGGAUUUCUAAUUCACACAUGCAUUUUGACCCUGCAAAUGAAAAGAGGGCUUAUUUGUGCCUGUGGCAAUGAUCCAGCAUCACAAAAGUCCAACUAACAAUAACAAGCAAAUGCAACAAGACGAUCAAUUCUACAUCAAAGUGAUAAAAACACUUAAACUUCAAAAUAACAUAAGCCAGCAUGUAUGAUCAUGAACCCUGAAGCAGCAUAUCUGCAUUCCUGUACCCUAAACAAUGGUCAAAUAAAACACCGAUCCCUCACCACUUCCAUCUACACACCCAAUUGAAACAUUAAAACAUUAUACCUCCACAGCAAACAAGGUUUCUGGUAAUCAUGAAUGAUACUGUACAAACAUUCAUAAAAAAAGAUUCAAAUAGAAUCAUUUCAUACCGUCUUCUGAAAGUCUGGUCUGCUUAAUGUCUAUUCUUACUACUUAUGGAUAUACUGAUGUCUUAUGUGUAUAUGUAAAUGUGCUAUUAUAUCUACUCUAUCGUUAACCAACUUGCUCCUGACUAUCAUGUGAAUUUAGUAUCUUUGAACAUAAUGACAUUUAGAGCCAUCAGCAGCAAGUUGGUGCCGUAAGAGUUAACAUCUAGAUAUAAUAUAGCACAUUUACAUAUGCAUAUUAGACAUCAAGUCAACAACAUAUGGAUAAGUAGUAAGAAGAGACAUUUGCAAGAGUAUUGUCUGUACAGCUUUUCUAGGUGUUGAUCAGCCCAUGUUUCCCUUUAAGUUGUCCUUGACAAUGGCAUACAGCAAAAUAAGGGUUACUGCAUUGAGGCACUUGUUAUUACUGAUGGUCUUUUUGUUUCUUUUCGAAGGAGCAUAUCUAUCUUCAAUUCUUCAUGCAUAUUUCGUCUCUUCAAUAAACUUCUUUUAUAUGAGAAGAAAAUUCUUACACCAUUCUUUGAUGAGACUCAUUUCACAAUUUUUCAUGAACUUCUAACUGAACAAUUACCAGACCAAAUAAAUACAGCAACACAGCUAGUGAAGCACAUAGAAGGUCGCACUUGGAUUGAUCAUUGUCCUAUUAAUUUGAUACUCUUAAGUUUAAUCAAUCAACUAUUUUUACAACAGGGGUAGUUUAUAACUGUAUAUGACGUAAUAUCCCUCCUUAACUUAUUCGACACUGUUAAUGUAGUAAAUUCAGAACAUAUAGCACAUGCAUGGGCUUAUCCAAGCAAUACCAACCCAUGUCAGAUUCAUGUAAUUAUAUACCUUAGCCCAUAUAUAACUAUAUUCUAUGAAAAACUAAAUGUCUUUCACAAAACUCAUGCAUUUCUAUGCAAUCUAAAUCAACCUCACUGCUGUGAAGUUCUGAGUUACCAUUGGUAAUUUAGUACCAUCAGUAAAAGACCAGUCGAACAAAGAAAUUCAACCAAUAGCAUCAUUUUCCUAUCCCUGAAAGGUUGAUCUAGUUCAACUAUCAAAAGUUGUAACACUACUUCGCCGAAUAUAAUAUAUUACACAUAUCAACUAAAGCACACGAUUCUUCGCAAACACUACCUAUCUGAUAAAUUUCUUUGUUUGGCUUAUCAAAAAAAAUCUGAUAAAUUUCUAAAUUAAGUGCACAGAAAAAUUUCUACCAGCAAAGCAAACAAUGUCUUGAUAUUUAGUUAGUGCAGGUAAUUUUAAAAAUGCAAGGCAUACUCAGAGCAAAAAAAAAAACACAUGUAUACACAUACCCAUCAUAACGUGGGACAAAUCUAUAAUCCAUAAGCAUGUAUACCUCUAAACAAUAAAAAAGUUGAGCUAACAUGCCCUGAAACCAAAAUUUUCAACAAAUUCAUAUCAUUAAGUCUGUAUAAGAACAAUGGUACAUCCUCAUGCCUGUAACAAGUUUUGUACUUAGUAAUUCCAGAGUUCUUGAAGGCUAUAAGGGUUUACCAAUUUAUGCUGUAGCCAAGAAACAGCGACUUCAAGUGAAGAAACAAAUAGCAAUCUGUACCCGGUACCACACAAUGAAGGAUUCCAUCAACUGAAACUUGAGCCUGCAUCUCAGCUAGCAUAAUGUUGGAUCCGAGCAGCCAUAUUAGAAACCUGAGCCUGCAUCUGAGCAGCUUUAACUUUUGCAGCAGUAGCUCGUUGAAAGAAUUGCUCCCUCGACAGUGCCCUCACACUCCUCAAGUACUGAUCAAACGGUACAGCCCCAACCUGAACUGCCUUAUCCAAUGCAUAGAGAGUAUCUUCGACAGCCAAAUCCGAAGCAGUGCAAUCAAGCAUCUGCUUUGAUAGCACAUCCAUACAGUCAAAAGCCUCCUCAGCAUUCUCCAAACCCCCCAACUUCUUCCCUUGAUUCUCUCUCAACCACCCCUCUAAAAUAUCAGUAUUCAUCAAAACCAUCUGAAGCUGCUGCUCCAACCCUUCAAUCUCCCCCUGCAUCUCCCUCACACCCCUAUUGAGAUGAUCCUCCCUCUGCUUCAACACCCCCUGCAAACUAAACAGCCCCUCCAUCUCACUCUCCCUCGUCUUCCUCAACGCGGUAACAUCGUUAUGCACCGUCUCCACAAGCUUAUUGAUCGCAUUCCGCUUGAAAACCUCACUGGGGUCCUCAGUCUGGGAAGAAACCCUAGCAGGAGAACCCACUGAACCAUAAGGCGAAGGAGGAUACGGCCUCUGAGGAGGAGGGUGGUGGGGGUGGUUAUGAUACCCAGAUGACGAAUUCGACAAAUUCGAUGCAGAAGUAGCGAAAUUCGGAUUGGGAUUAGGGUUAGGUCUACGUUGGGAAUAGAGGGGUGGGUCACGAGCAAAGAGAUGACUGGUAGAGAGAACGAGAUCAACCAAAUUGGAACUAGGGUAGAUCCAAUUAUGCAGAUAGGGAACGGAAACCAACCCAGAAGGGUUAACAUGAGCGUGGGGGCGUUUGAUGAUCAUGUCUCUGGUGGGGUUAACGUAGACGCAAGGUGGGUGGCGAGGGUAAGACUCCAUGAGCCAGAUGACGACGGGGAUGUUGUAGGUGACGGAUUGGUAGGUCAUAGGGAUGGUUCCGACGGCUUGGAGGAGGUUGACGGAGCGGCCGUCGUUGUGGGUGAAGGUGGCGGUUUUGGGUUCCAGGGAAGGGAAGGCGGCGGUGAGAGCAACGAGGUGUUGGCGGAUGAGCCACUUUGUGUCCUCCGAGUAGGGGACGGCGGAGGGACCGCGUUGGGAGAGGACGGAGCUGAGGAACUGCUGUGUGGCUUGUGGGUCCGGCGAUUGAACCGCCGGUGGAACCAUGGUUGGCGGUGAAGGUGGAAGGUAGGGUUUGAAUUGAAUUGAAAUCGAUUGGUUAUGGGAAUUGAAUUGAGAUUGGUUUGCUUAACGAAGAAGAGAAGAGAAGCUUAUGGUGUACGCGUGGUUGAGAAAUGACAAGAGAAGAGAAGCUUCUUGCUCUAUUGCUCCAAACAAUGUAUUAGCAUUUGUUGCUAUUUAUUAAAUUUAAGUAUGGAUGAUAAUAAAUAUUUUUAAGCCAUUUUGUGAAAUGGAUUUCAACCCCAAAAAUCAAUUCUACAAUUCUACUAGAAGCUAUAGAAAGUAGCUGUUGUUGACUUGUUGUUGCUGUUGGCUCUUAAAUAUAAUCAAUUUUGAGAUUUUAUAAUUGAUUUCACAUUAUCUUGCAAAAGCUAUUUUUUUAUAAAUGUAUUCAAUUAUAAAUCAAUUCAAUUUCAACUCACUUUUAUUAUAAUUAAUUCUACCAAAAUCAAUUUUUUUUUAACCCAAAAUCAAUUAUCAAUUGUGAGAACAUUGGUCCAAACACACAAUGAGUGAAGCUUUUAGUGGGAGAGUAUUCAGGUUCAUUUGGAAAAAGAACUUAAUUGAGUACUUAUGACAAAAAGCGCGAAUCUCAUUAGCACUUAUUAAUAAGUUAAUUUGAGAAACUUAUUUUAGAUAUGGGUUAUACAUAAGCAUAAACUCUUAUUAAUAAAACAAUCUGAAUACCUUAUGAAAAUAAGCUAAAAAAUAUGAUCCGAACUUGCUAUAACAUUGAUUAUGGACAGAAAUGAUUCUACUUUGAAUAUGAUAAACGUGAGUUAAAAUGAUGUCACUUAUGUUUGAACACAUUUACGAGAAAGCGGUUUCUAUAUCAUAAUGUCAUGAAAUUCAUAUGUAAAAUCUCAUAAUUGAUUGUGUUUAACACGAGCAACUAUUUAUUGUGACAAGUAAAAUUGAUUCUUGACCCAUGAAAUCAAUUUUUACAAUUAAUUCUAUAGAAUUGAUUUUUCUUUCUAAAUAUGCACUAAGUGUUUAAUUUAAGCUUUUUCCUAUCAAUUUUUUUUUCUCUCUUCAUCGAGAUCUAGAGUUUUGUUUAUAAGAAACCAAUCUCAUGAAAUACUGUUAGGAAUCAUAGGUAGAGAGAUCCUUCCUAUAAGUAAUAAUUACUACAUCAGAUUCAAUCAUUGAAUUCAAGAUCACGUAUUUUAGAGAUCCAAGUCAUUUUCACAAGAACCAACAUAUAUUAGUGAAUACAAAAAAUGAAAACACAUCAUCAUUUUUAUUUCUCAGGAUAUAUGUCCACUCGAAAGGGACUUCUUCUAAUAGUGUGUUCUGUAUGCAAGAGGAACUGAGAAAGAAAUAAUUCCAGCACCAGCAAAAGGUCUAUUGAAGAAGAUAUUAUAAAUUUGUUUAUGCAUGGUUACACUUACACCACAUAGCCGACUCAAUACAUUACCAAGUUCUCUAGCAAAUCAACCUUCCAUAAAGAAAGAUUAAUUAUACGAACCAGAUCUAAUAUAGAUUUAAUCGGUGUUCUUAAAUCGUAGUAAAGUUCCAACAAGUGUGCUCAACAUGCAAAACUAGGACUUCCAACUUAACAGGUUCAUUGUUGAAAUUAUUAUAACAUGCAGAAAGAGACUAACUGGUAUCAGAGAUCAUUGGAACAAAAGGAAAAAAUCUGGCUUAUUUUUAACCAAGACAAUCUGUCAUAACAAGUGCAGCAUGAGAGCAUGUAUUCCAUAAGCAGUGAUAUCAAACUUUCGAAGACUCUCCUGCUUUCACCAGAUCUUCCAAUGCCUUAGAGAUCUGUGUCUCUGUCAAGCCUUCCAAUUUAAUGCCUUUCUCAACACCCAAAUCUAGUAUGAAGGAACACAUGCCAGGAAAUUAGGGUUAAUCAUAAACAGAUAACCAUUGGAAAAUGCAAAAUGAUGCGAAUGAAAAGGAUCGGCUACAAAAUAUGAUCAGAAGGGUUCAUCAAAGAUGGCAGCAGCCAGCGGGGACUUUGCAGUGUAAGUGUCCCAAAUUCAUGUUGUAAGGGAAUUGAUUUUCUAACUGCAUUCAAGGCCCUCCAUAAUUAACAAAUUAGUCUCAACUCUCAUGUUACAAUCACAAUUGAUAUUGACAUUAUCCAUAAUCUCAUGCGUUUCUUAAAGCAGGUACAAAAAUCAUUUCCCUCAGAAGUCAGAAUUUAAGGUUCUUUCAACGAAACAAAUUUGAGCAUGAAAUCAAUUUUCAGCAACAAAGCAUGCCUAGAAACGGAGAAGCCUAGAGGUUGAAGAACACAUGAAGAAAACUCAUCCCCAUAAAACUAUUCUCUCAAAUUUGCAAUGUAUUAUUUUAAAAUGCUUAAUCCUAUGUAUGUAUGGAUUUGACAGGCCAAAAUUUAUGCCAUACAGUUUCAACAGUCAACACCUGUACAUCUGAACUUUCAGCCACAUUCACAGCAAGAAAGUCAACAGUGUUUAUGGUUUUGCUUUUGAAUAGAGCAUAAAAGUCAGAAUUGGGAGAAAAUUACAAUUUAGUUUUUCACUGAAUAUUAAGACUAUUAUAUCAUCAUAACCUUAAAACCCUAUAUAUGAAAUUAAGGGGACAGUGCAGAAUAACAUAUUUUCAGUGUCAAUGCAUUAAAGUUAAUUUCCAAAUCCUAAAAAUUCCUCCCGUAAAAGUUAAAACUAAGGGGGGAAAAGCCCUGGAAUCAUGAUAUAGAAUGUAAAUGCAAAUUUCAGGUAGACAAAUCCAAAUAAAAAAAGACAAAAAUGAGAUUUAAGAUGGUUCAUACCAUAUCUUGCCCAUAAUUGGGGUUCAACUCCACUGCAUUCACGGACCAAUAUUGGCAAUUUUGGGUUCAAUGUCUUCAGUUCCUUAUAAUUCUUUUCCACAAAAGCCCUGAGACAAAAAGAAAAAUGAUAAAAGCUCCUUUUGUAUUCACUUAUGUAUGAGAUGUAAGUUGAACAAAGCAACCAUUGUGCAUGUAUAAACCUUGCAGAUGAGCUUGCAGGUGAUGACUGGCACAUCAAAAUCCGAAGCUCUUUUAUGUUCUUUGAAAUGUGUCCUCUCCAUGCCAUUGCUUUCCUAGUUCAAAGUUACAGUAUUAGUCAGAUUUACAAGGCAAGACAAAAUAGAGGUAACGCCUAAGAAAUGCAAGCUAAAGUGCUAAACCACCAUUGGCGUCCGUCUAGUGGUAGUCUGAUUGGAAAAGUAUAUAUAAAUACAAAGAUAUUGCAUGUGUAAACUACAACCAGAAACUCACAACAAGUAGUUUUAUUAUUGUCAUUUUGUAAAAGCUCAAUGGAAAGCAGUCUUUGAACACUUUGAGUAUAAUAAUUUGGAUCUAAAAACGCUUCUCAUGAAAUAGAUAAUUUUUACAAAAUGAACAUAUGAAAUUAUGCAACAAACCAAAACCUAGAAACCAUACAUGAAUCAAUCAACCCAAUUUUCAGCUCCAUCAAAACCCAAAUUCUUACAGCAAUUCCCAUUUAACAAAGAAAUGAAAUUCAAAGCACAUUCUUAUCACAAUCCCUAGAGUGAGCGAUGAUGAUGAUGAAGACGAAAAUGAAAAAAAUUGAUAGGAAUGCAGAGAAAAAUGAUUCAUAGUCAGAUCAAACAAUAGCAGGAGAGAGUGAAAAAUGUAAUCUUUGAUUCAAACCUGAGGUGAUGCCAAAAGGGUCGGAUAUGGAAGAUGGCGGAGGUGAACUGAAAGAUUCUGGCGUUUGUUUCGUGGGGAGGAGAGAGGAAAAGGGCCACCAACUCAAAAGGGUAGACCUGUCAUUAUACAAAUUCUUCAGGGUUACUAUGGUAAACCAUUGAGUUUGUUUUUUAAUUGAGAUAUAUUAUUUCAAAUUGUACUUGGAAAAUCAGAAAUUAGAAUUAGGUUAUUUUUUGUAAUUAUUCUCCUCUUUGGAAAUAAACCAUAUUCACAUUUACCUUAUGGAAAAAAAGUUUGAAAGGGUUCCACUCUGAUCAACAUCACAGAUCAGUUCAUGCAUUCAGAAUCAGAAAUUGCUUAUAAAGGUAAUUACAUAUCAUCCAUUAACACAACUCUCACAUCGACAGUGAAAAUCAAACACACAAUCUUCAAAGACCAAGUGUUUUAAUUUUACCAAUCGAGUCAAUUUGUGUUGGUCAUACUCACAUUUACCUAAUUCAUUAUUAAGUAUGUCUAAGUGAGAACUUAGACAUAAUUUCUUUCUUUCAAUUUAUUUUAAAUAAAUGAAAUCUCUCCCAAGUGAUCAUAUUAUCUGUGAUAAUUUAUCCUCAAAAUCGUUUGAAGAUUAGUUGAGUUACUUUCAUCCCAGUCAAUCAAAACAAGAGGUUUGUUCACUUUUUUUUAUGUCUAUUCAUUUCAUUAUCGAAAAUGUCCGUUUAUACUAGUUUCAACGAAUAUCCAAGAAAUAAACAAAAUGUCUUCUUCACUUUUUAAAUUAUAACUUUUUAUUUAAUUUUAAAUGUAAUGAGCUCUACGAGUAUUUAGGAAUGCAAUAUUCGAUACAUUGUAGUAAAAGUCUAAUAUCUUUCCAAGAGUAUGUUUCAUAACAAUGAAACUUAGAAAAACAUCACAUAAUCACAUAAUAGGUGAUGAAACUGAAGAGCGAGAAAGUGCAAAGAAAGACGUUGGUAAUUUGGCCUGAACUGCCACAAAACUCAUCUUGUGCAAAAUAACAUCUAACGUGCACUUCAAAAAAGAGAGGGGAAAAUAACUAACACUUUUUAAACUGCUAACUUCCAAAAACAACAACUAAAAACUGCCAACAAAACAAGACAUAAACAACUUACACAGGGGACAAUGAUUCACUCACUCACUUUUGCAUACUGCAAUCCAAUUUCCAUCGCCAUUGCUCAAAUCUUCUACUAAUUUACUUUCAUCAUCCAUGCAUUGCCUACACAUAAAACUUGGGUGAUUACAACAGAAACAUUAGAUGCCAGUAAAUAAAUAAGGCUAUUUAUAUAGAACAAUCAAAUCAAAAUGGAUGCACCAAAAGUUGCCAGAACAAGGAAAACAAAGGUUAAGAAUUCAACUUCAAGGCCAGAAACCAGACAUGUCUCAAGCAAAGUUGGGAAAUUUGAUCUCACUGAUCUACAAUGGACCAAUCAAAUUCCACAGUGUCCAGUGUACCACCCAUCAGAACAGGAGUUUCAGGAUCCUUUUGCAUAUCUACAGAUGAUUGCUCCAGAGGCAUCUAAAUUUGGUAUGUGAUAAUAGAACAAUAUGUAUAACAUGUUUGGAUUGACUUUUUUUUUUUUCAUGAUUAACAUUGAAAUCCAGAAGCUACUCACAUAAACUUCCUUAGAAUCAAUUGUAGAAUGAUUUUCAAACACAUGCACGCAUUCAUCUAAGUCUUCUUCCACUAGGUGGGAUGAAUAAUAUAAAUUUUGUAUAGGACUUUAUUUAAAGUGCUAAAAAAAAUAACAAAAGAAUGUUUCAGAAACCACAGAUUCAGAUAACAUGUUCUAGUAACAAAUAUGUGUUCUGUUUUGCAAUAUAUUGUAUAUGCCACAAACUUGAACUUUAGGGAAAUUCUCAAAGUCACAAUAGUAAACACAAGAAAUUUGAUGUUAACACUUAACACCACUACCCUUCCAUGAUUUCCGCUAAAUAACACAGUUAGUUUUGUCUCCAAUCACCACAAACCAGGGCGAGUAAUUGGAGAAAAUAAUGUCCUUCCCUUCCCUUGCUCACAAAAUUGAGUGUUUUCUGCAUUUAUAUGCUUUUACAUGUAAAUAAGUUCCCUUCUAUGUUCUCAGGUAUAUGCAAAAUAGUUUCUCCUAUAAGUGCCUCUAUUCCUGCUGCUGUUGUAUUAACAAAAGAGAAAAAGGACUUCAAGUUUAAGACUAAUGUGCAGCCUCUUCGGCUUUCUGAUUGGAAUGAGAAAGAUAUAAUAACCUUUUCCAUGAGAAAAAGGUAAAAGAAUGUUACUAUAUAUCAUCAUUCUUUAAAGCUUUAGCUAAAGCUUGUAAAUAAUCAUUGGUCUUUUUUUUUCAUCAGAAAAUACAGCUAUCAUGAAUUUGAGGCUCUGGCAAACAGUGCUUGUCUGAGUAGAUUUUACAGUUCUGGAGGUCUUUCAUCUUCAGAUGUGGAAAAGGAGUUCUGGCGUGUGAUGGAUUUUGGAGAGAAGGGUAAGAUUGAGUAUGGAGUCAAUAUUGAGGGUAGUGCCUUUUCAUGUGAUCCUCAUGACAAGCUUGGAAAAAGCAAAUGGAAUCUGAAGGUGAUUUUAUACUAACUCCAUUUCUUGUGUUCUCUUUACUUAGGUGAUUUUAUCAAGCUUAAGCUUUUGAUCCUUCUAUUUGAAUUUCGAAAUAUAAUACAAAAUCAUUCAUGUGUUCUCAUCCAAAGCUUUUGGGAUAGUUGAUUCAAGGCAUAUAUAGCAUCAUAGUCUCUAUGACCGAGUGGGUCAAGCGGUCAAAUCCCAAAUUAGCUCUUCAAGCGGUCAAGCCCAAUUGGCUCUUGCUUGAAGGAGUGUGUUUAUGAUAAAACCAUACAUGUGUCUUUGCCACACCAUUAACAUUGUUAAUUUCUUCUGUGCGUGUAUUUAUUGUUCACUAAUGAGACUUAAACAUCCUAAGACUAUAUACACCACAGACACUUCAUUUUUUGUUGUAUCUCUUUUCUUAUCACAUUCACCAUUCAUCAUAUAUCAAAUCCAAUACAUUUUUCCUCUUUUCUUUCUUUCUCACUCUGUGAUUGUUGGAUGUCUCAUGUCUGCACUCUGCACUAUAUGAAUGUAUACAAAUCAUUUUCCUUUAUUGUUUGCUUAAUAUAUUGACAUCUGAUCUCAUUUAUGUCAGAAUUUCUCACGGCUGCCACAAUCCACAUUGCGCUUAGUUGACAAGGAAAUUCCAGUAAGAAAGUAAUACUCUAAACCAAAAUUGAAUUUGCACUUUUCUCUAACAUCCCGGUGAAUUUUUUCAGGGAAUAACUGAUCCUAUGCUUUACAUUGGGAUGCUGUUCAGCAUGUUUGCAUGGCAUGUAGAAGAUCACUAUUUAUACAGGUAUAUAUCUCAGAGUUUUGUUUUUUCUGGUUUAUUGUUUACAUUGAUCAAUGAUUUUUGUUUUGUUUGCAGCAUAAAUUAUCAUCAUUCAGGUGCAAACAAAAUUUGGUACGGUGUGCCUGCCCAUGAGGCCUCUCAAUUUGAAAAUACUGUCUUACAUCAUGUGUAUGGCAAUAAAGUCUCAUCAAAACUUGGAGAAGAUGGUUCUUUCCAACUUCUUGCACAUAAAACAACCAUGUUCCCUCCAAUUAUCUUGCUGAAAAAUGAUGUGACAGUUUACAAGGCUGUUCAGAAGCCAGGAGAAUUUGUGAUCACCUUUCCUAGAGCAUAUCAUGCUGGAUUCAGUACUGGUGAUCCACCCAUCUUUCUUUACCGAUGAAGACUCGUUAUCCUCAUUUGGUGUCUUCUUCAGUCUUCUUUGUCUCACUAGUCAAAUCGUGUCAUGUAGGCAUGAGUAUCACAAUUAUAUACUACAUGAGUGGUUUUUAAAUGACAUGACACAAUUUGAUUGGUGGGACAGAGAACGAGACACCAAAUGAGGACAGAGGAUUUCAUGAUGGAUUAUCUCGUUUCAUGUUCCAUCAAUAAAAUUGUGACAUAUGAUAAUUAUAACGUUACAUGAGUGUUUUUUAGAUGACAUGGCACAUUUCUAUUAGCAGGAGAUGGAAGGGGACAUUGGGGACAGAGGAUUUCAAUCCAUUAUGUCACAUGAGACAAUCCUAAUCAAUAAACCACUGGUAUUUAUCAUAUAUUUGAUUUGAUUCUUUAUUUAUUGAUUCAGGUUUUAACUGUGGAGAAGCAGUAAACUUUGCUAUUGGUGAUUGGUUUCCAUUUGGGGCUGCAGCUAGUAAGCGUUAUGCACAUCUCAGAAUGCUUCCCAUGAUUCCAUAUGAGGAACUUCUUUGUAAAGAGGCUAUGCAGAUUCACAAGUUCUUAAAAGUCAGAAGUUCUAAGAACAAAUCUAAGGACAUUGCAUCUUAUAGUGCUACAGUAUUGACUUUUGUGCACCUUAUGCAAUUUUAUAAGAAGGCCCUUUUGAGACUGAAGGGUUCACCAGAGUGUUCAAUUUCUUCAAAUACCAUAUCUACUCUGAUAUGCUGCCACUGCCUCAGAGAUUGUUAUGUAGCAUACAUGUUGUGCAAGCACUGCUAUUCUUAUCCAAUUUGCCUUUGCUGCCAUGGUAAGAAAGGAUUAUAUUUUCAUUUGAUGGAUUUUUAUUAGACAUACAUUUUCAUACUCUCUUAUUUAUGUGAUUCAGACAUGGCAUCAAAGAGGUGCUCCUGUGGGAGAAAAUACACUAUUUUUAAGAGGAGUGACAUGUUAGCCAUGGAGGAUGCUGCCAAAAAAUUUGAGAAGGAAAAAGAAAUCCAUUUGAAAUAAAAAGAGAGCAUGAAUAAAAUAAAAAUUCAGAAAAAAGAAGAAUCAAGAUGGUUAUACCACCUAAGUGCUGCUGCAAUGUCUUAAAGAGUUUGAGAUCACUUGCACUAUCGCUGACAUCUAACAAAUCAGACUUUCUUCGUGGCCUUUAUUUAACUUCUCAUUGGUUUUUAGCAUUUAAUGGUUUAUGGUUAUGUUAUUGUAGACUUGUAUUUUUUUAGAACUGUACAAUGUAGAUUAGUUUGUUGGUUUAUGGUUAUGUUAUUGUAGACUUGUACUUUUUUAGAACUGUACAAUGUAGAUUAGUUUGUAAAUGGGGGAACAAAGCACACUAGAAGUUCUAGAGCUUUUAGGUUCGAAUAAUAAUGUUCCUAAAGUUGCUUAUGCAAGAAUUAUAUCCUCUCUUAGUUAUUGGUCCAUUUUUCCAGCACCUAUGGUUUUCACUUUCUCUAUUCAAGUUUGCAGUUUGCUAAUUCUAACAUGCUUUAAGUGGAUGGAGUGGAGAGGUGAAUUAAGUGUGUUUGGAUAAUAAUUAAAUAAAAUAUCAAUGGACUUUCAUCUCAAUUCAUAAGAAGAGUUUCGUUCACUUUUUAUCUAGAAGUGAAUGUUAGCAUUGUUUGUUCAAGUGACAUGAGUAUCCCAUACAUACCUUAAGUAAAUGUGCUUUCACAUUUUCACAUUUUUAUGAAUGUUAAAACAAAUGAAUUGAAAAAUGAGAUCAUAUAAAAGUGAUAAAACAGAUGUUGAAAGAUGGUGUAGAAAGUAAUGGUAGAAUAAAAAACACCCUAGUUGACACUUGAAAUGACCAACAUAUACAGGAGAAAAAAAAUUGUUUUAUAUGAGCUAAAUUUGAAGUGAAUGAAAUUUAAGCAAUUUGCCAACAUGUUAUGAUAGAAAAGUUAAAGCGCGUAACGAGUGAUAAUACAAAAUUUAAAUUUCAUUCGAGAAAGUUAUCUAUUAAGAAAGAGACGGUCACAUUCUCACGAACAAAUUGCACUUAACUUAGAGCAUCUUAACAUCAACAAAUAGCUAUUAAAAUUUAGAGUAAAGUACACUCUCCCCCCUCAAGGUUUGUUAGAAUUACACUCCACCCCAUUCUUAUCUAAAAUCUACACUCCACCCCAUUUUAUAUAGAGGCAAAUUUAGUGACGAAAAAUAUUCUUCAUUAAUAAUUAGUUAUUAUUUAAUUUGUUAAUCAAUAAUUUUAAAAAAUAUUUUUAAUAUAUUCCAAUAAAUUUAAAAUGGAAAACAUCACAGUCCUCCCCAUUCUCUCAAUCGCGUUCUUCCUCCUUAAAUUCACAAUGUAAAUUUUGCAAUAGCACACCUAACCGGUUUACAAACCAUAUCUCGAACAUAAUGAAACAUGCUUGUGUUUUCAUAUUUGAUAUUAAUUCAAUUUUAAUCAAAAUAAUCUAUUUAUACCUCCAAUUUUCAAAUUGGAUUGUAGACCCAAAAAGUAACACAAAUAGGUGAAGAAAAUAGGGAAACAAAAUUAAGAAAUAUGAAGUGGAUCGGAGGUUAUUAGAACCCAACGAUGCGGUGGAGCACCGUUUUUAACAAAAUCCAACAACAUCUUAAACCAACAGAGCGUUCACUCACAACUUAAAGAGGUGAAGUUCACAAUAAGUAGUUGAACAAGUGGCUUUGAGGAUGUGCGAUUCACGUUCUGGGGUUCAAGUCGCAACAAAACUUUGAGGCAUGGUGGUGCCAUGGGGUUUCACAUUCUGGGACGGUGGUCGCCAUGUUAAAGAGAGCAAAGACUUGGUGGUGACCGUUUGUGGUGAGAAAUAUGAUUUGGAGAUAGAUGGGACGUGGACUUAACAGACAGAGUUGAUAGUUUUUUUAAAUUUAAUUCAGUAAAAUUAUUUUUAUAAAUUAAUGUAUAAUAGUGUAUAUGCAUUAAAUUUAUUUAAAUUUUCACUAAUUAGUAAUUAUUUUUUAUUAGUGACGAAUUUGUUUUCGUCACUAAAUUUUGCCUUUAUAAAAAAUGGGGUGGAGUGUAGAUUUUAAAAAAAAAUGGGGUGGAGUGUCAUUCUUGCAAACCUUAAGAGGGGUGAGUGUAUUUUACUCUAAAAUUUAAAAUGAAAAUUACUUUUGAGUUUUGACACAUUCAAACAAGUUUUUUUCUUAAAAGAAAAAGAAAAUUGAAGUGCUAAUAAGAACACUAUUAUUACAUCACUACAGUCACAGGGGUGAAUUAGCAUCCAAAACCCGAUCUCAGGUCCGGUGUUGCGACGGCGGCGAAUGAAGCUCCCACGCGGCGGCGCUCCGCUCGCACUCUCAGCCUCAGCUGCAACCCAUUUCCGUCGCAGAAGCUUCUGCGCCUCCAAAUUCGACGAUGCUCGCUUUGUCUCCCUCAUUUCCGACAUUGUUCGAGGGAAGCAGAGUUGGAAGGUGGCAUUCAAAGACCCUUCAAUUUCAUCCACAUUGAGACCCCAUCACGUUGAACGAGUCUUGAUCAACACCUUGGACGAUUCCAGGUUAGCUUUCAGCUUCUUCAACUUCCUGGGUUUGCACCAAAAGCUGAAACAUUCCACCACCUCCUUCGCUAUCUUGGUCCAUGCCCUCGUCCCUGAUAGGCAAUUCUGGGCUGCCAAUUCUCUCUUGGACACCCUUCUCGAAAAUGGGUCUGACGCAAAAUCCAAUUUUACCGAGUUUCUAGAAGCUCACAGGAACUGUAAGUUUUCGUCUACCUCGGGUUUCGAUUUCCUAGUUCUGAGAUAUUUGCAUCACACAAGGGUUUUAGAUGCUGUGGUUGUUCUAAAACUCAUGCUUGCUAACAGAUUGUUGCCUGAAACUAGAACAUUGAGUGCCCUCUUGAACGGGCUAUUGAAAAUUAGAAGUUAUAUAUCGGUUUGGGAACUGUUUGAUGAAUCUGUGAAUGCUGGUGUUCAACAUGAUCCUUAUACUUGCUCAGCUGUAAUCCGGAGCCUGUGUGAACUGAAGGAUUUUUUUAGAGCUAAGCAGAAGAUUAAGUGGAUGGAAUCUAAUAGGUUUGAUCUGAAUAUUGUAACUUACAAUGUACUUAUUGAUGGGCUAUGCAAGGGUGGUCGAGUUUCGGAAGCUUUUGAGGUUAAAAGAUCAUUGAGGGAAAAGGGUCUGGAACCAGAUGUGGUUACAUACUGUACACUAGUUCAUGGUUUAUGUAGGGUGCAACAAUUUGGCGCUGGAAUACAGCUUAUGGAUGAAAUGGUUGAAUUGGGAUUUGCGCCAACCGAGGAGGCUAUAUCGAGGUUAGUGGAAGGGUUAAGAAAGCAGAGAAAGAUUGAUGUGGCUUAUGGUUUAGUGGUUAAGCUAGGAAGAUUUGGUUUUCUGCCAAAUUUGUUUGUCUAUAAUAAAUUACUGGACUCUUUGUGCAAAGGUGGAGAUUUGGAUAAGGCAGAGUUCCUUUACAACAAUAUGAGGUUGACGAAGUUGCGGCCCAAUGGUGUUACUUAUUGUAUUCUCAUUGAUUCCUUUUGCUUCAGGGGGAGGUUGGAUGUUGCAAUAUCUUAUUUUGAUAGGAUGAUUGGAGAUGGUAUCAGAGACAUGGUAUAUCCCUACAACUCUUUGAUAAAUGGCCAAUGCAAGUUUGGAGAUAUGAGUGCUGCCGAGUCCCUACUUACUGAGAUGAUUAAUAAGGGGUUAGAGCCAACUGCUGCUACCUUUACACCACUAAUUAGUGGCUACUGCAAAGGCCUAAAGCUACAAAAGGCAUUUGAACUAUAUAAUAAGAUGCUUGAGAAAGGAAUUACUCCGAAUGUUUAUACUUUCACUGCACUUAUUUCUGGGCUUUGCCGCAUGAAUAAGAUGGCUGAAGCAUCCAAACUUUUCGAUGAAUUGGCAGAAAGGAAAAUCAAGCCGACUGAGGUGACAUAUAAUGUUAUGAUUGAAGGUUAUUGCAGGGAUCGCCAAGUCAGCAAAGCCUUUGAAUUGCUUGAAGAUAUGCUCCAGAAGGGCCUUCUUCCAGACACGUAUACCUAUAGAGCUCUUAUCAGUGGCCUUUGUUCUACAGGUAGGGUUUCUGAAGCUAAAGAUUUUAUUGAUGGUCUCCACAAGAAGAACCUCAAGUUAAAUGAGAUGUGCUAUAGUGCACUUCUACAUGGUUAUUGCCAGGAAGGAAGAUUGAUCGAGGCAAUGAGUGCUUCUUGUGAAAUGAUUCAGAGAGGAGUCAACAUGGAUCUGGUUUGCCAUGCCAUUCUUAUUGAUGGUGCUCUAAAGCAGCCAGACAAGAAAAUGUUAUUUGGUCUCUUUAAAGAGAUGCAUGAUCAAGGACUGAGACCUGAUAAUGUAGUAUAUACCAGUAUGAUUGAUGCAUACAGCAAAGAAGGAUUGUUUAAGAAAGCUUUUGGAUGUUGGGAUUUAAUGGUUACUGACGAAUGCUCUCCUAAUGUUGUGACCUAUACUGCAUUGAUGAAUGGUUUAUGCAAAGCAGGUGAAAUAGACAGAGCAGGACUUCUUUUCAAGAAAAUGCUGACUGCAAAUGUCCCUCCUAAUUCAAUUGCAUAUGGCUGUUUUCUUGAUUCUCUUGCGAAGGACGGAAACAUGAAGGAAGCUUUAGAGCUUCAUAAUGCAAUGCUUAAGGGGCUUUUAGCAAACACUGCUACAUACAACAUUCUUAUCCGUGGCUUCUGCAAAUUGGGUAGAUUUCUUGAAGCCACAAAAGUUCUCUCUGAAAUGACUGAGAAUGGUAUUUUCCCUGACUGUAUUACCUAUUCAACUUUAAUUUACGAGUAUUGCAGAAUUGGCAAUGUGGAAGCAGCAGUUAAAUUGUGGCAUACCAUGCUGAAUAAAGGUCUUGAGCCGGAUUCGGUUGCAUAUAACUUGAUAAUAUAUGGUUGUUGUGUAAAUGGAGAGCUCGAUAAGGCAUUUGAAUUGCGUGAUGACAUGUUGAGGAGAGGGAUGAAGCCAAGACAAAAUUUACACGCGGUGCAGAAAGGGCAAUAGAGGAGCAGCAGUUAAAUUGUGGUAUAACAUGCUCUGAACAAAGGUCUAGAACCUGAUUUGGUUGAAUUGGACUUUCUAAUAUAUGGCGGUUGUGUUAAUGGAGAGCACAAUAAGGCAUUUGAGUUGUUUGAUGACAUGUUGAGAAGAGGGGUAAAGCCAAGGGAAAAUAAAUAGAGGCUGAUGCUUAAUGUUGAAGGUGGUAGUGUCAUCCAAACUCGAAGCACCUGGUAAAAGGUUAGUUUUGCGAAGUGGAAAAAAUAUUCUAUUAGUUUUAAUAACAGCUUUAAUUCUUCUAGAGUAGGAUAUUCACUUUACAAAGAAAAUACAAAUUGAGUUAUAAUCGUUGAUUGAAAAAUAAUGUGUUGACAUUGUGAUAAAUGUGCACACGUAUAGCUAAAUUUGAAGUUGUUUAAAUCCAUUUCUUUGAUUUUCUUAUCAACAGUUAUAUACUUAUAUUAUAACUCCUCACUUUUCCUUUAAAUUGAAUCUCUCUUUAGAGAAGUCAUGUCCUAAAUUAGUUUCUUCAUCUCAUACAUUAACUAUGUACAAUUUUUUUCUGUAGAGGAAAAGGAGAACAUUACCGAGGUAGCAUUACCAAAAGGAGAACUGGAGAAGGAACCUGUCAAACUGAAAUGGAAGGAAAAAAUUGAUAUUACAGAUAGGUAACUAAAGUUUAAGCAAUGACACUUCACAACAUGAGUUACAUGAAACUGUAAAUUUCGAUUGGAGCUAGUAGCAAGGUAAGGAAAUUCUUAUGUUUAGUUACUACAAUUUUCAAUUGGCAGAUGAACCCAGAUGAUGAUGAUGAGCCUAUCACUGACAGGACCAUUUUUGUUGGGGCUGGUAGAGAAACCAUGGGGUUACCUUUGUAAAUAAUCUUUAGAUGACGGUAAUGAUGAUGAUGAUGAAAACUUUUUCUUUGGACUCCUCCCUGACAAAAACUAGAAUCAUGAAUUCAUUUAAUGUGAAGCAUUCUUGUGACUCUGGGUUCGGUGUCCAAAAUUUAUAUAUUCAUGGCUGGUUUUGCAAGUUAUGUGAAAUUUUGUUCGGCCAUCAAUAAUACAUAUUGGAUAUGCCAUAAAAUAUGAUGAAAUCAUUGUCAUAGUUGAUAUUCAAGUAUAUGGUUAUGGUUUGUAGUCAUCCUCGAAGUGUUCUCUUGUGCCAUUGACAACUUCCAUACUUGGUGUGCAUAUCAGUUGUCUCUGUAAAGCCUAAAAAGAUCUCUCUUUAUUUGUAUUUUUUUGAAAUAUUAUUUAUAUGCAUGUGAAGAUAUUGGUCUUCGAUCAUGUUAGAGAAGGGAGGCUAAAAGAACAUUGGAAUAUAUUGUUAGAAAUUACAUCAUUAUCGAUAAUAUUCCUCAAAAUCUGGUUUUUUAUCAAACUCAAUGGCGCAAUGUGAGUUAUAUGGCCGACCUUACUUUGCCGGUUUGUUGUUGUAGUAUUGUUUAUUUGCAUGUAUAGGAAUAGCACACAAAAAAUGCAUGCGGAAUGUGGACGCAUUAGAGAGAUUAUAACUCGAAACCUUUCCUAAUUACCAUAGCGAGGAAGUCAAACAUUGGAAAUAGUUUUGCGAUUUAUCUUCGAUGGGAAAUGGCUAAUUGACCUCACAAUUCUAUAAUGAAAUCACAGGCUUCAUAUCAUCUUACAGCGUUGAUAAUUUUAUGAGAAUGGUCAUUUUAAAAAAUAAGGUAAUUACUUAACAAAAAAAAAAAAGAAAUUAGCAAGGUAUCGAAUUGUGUAUAAAUUUUAUCUUUUUGAUACACCGGAAAACUACCAACAAAGCAAACAGCAACCAAGGAACAGACAACGAAUCCUUAGGAACUUAGUUCUUUUUGUAGGAUUUUAACUUUAAAGUGAAUUUUAAUUAGGAAGUUUUACAUUUUUUUUUAUGGGCAUAGGAAGUUUUACGUGAAAUGAAAUUCAAAAUUAUUUAUUGGAUUGAAUUUGUGAAAAAGUUGAGUAAAAAACUAGAAUUGUAAGUAGCAGGAAGUCACGGACAAGAUUAAAUUGUGAUGUCUAAAAAAUUAAGAAACCAAACUCACGAGAAAUUCUUAGAACAGAAAAAUCACAAAUUAACUGUAAUAAAAAUAUUGAACGUGCAAUUAAACCCACAUUAACAAGCAUAAUGCAGGCACUCAAGCAUCCACUAUCACAAGGGUGCUAAGGUAAAUAGGUCAAUUGCGCUUAUUGCCUCAGGUGCUUACUGAGAUAAGCUUAUUGAAAUCAGCUCAAAACAAGUUAGUGAUAAGUAUAAGUGCUUAGUCAUGAACUAAUCUGUGUAGCUUAUGAGAAUAAACUCAACAACUUAUAGGCAUAUCAUAAGCUAUUUAUGUAAGCUCUCUCAAACUACUACAUGAACUACUUCUUGCAUAAGUGAUGUCAAAUUAAAAAUAAGCUCUUCAAAACCGGAUGAAGUGUUUCAUUGAUUUUCUGCAUAUUUUCUUUAAUCCAAAUGGCAUAUCCAAUUUUCAUUAUUGAUGGCCAGAAAAUAAAAUCCAAAUUAUAGCCAAAUCAAUCAUUUGUACCGCCAUGAAUAUAUAAAUUUUGGACAACAAACCAGACUCACAUUUAAUGAAUUACACCAUUCUACACCAUUCUGUGUAAGAAUUUCUACCAGAUUCAGGAUUCCAGUUUUUGUCAGGAAGGAUCUCCAAAGAAAAAGUUUUCAUCAUCAUCAUCAUUACCUUCAACUAAAGGUUAAUUGCAAAUCUUCACUGAGGAGCUCUGAUGCAGUUCGGUCUCAAACGUUCGAUGUGGUAAUAAUUGAACAUCUUGACUGGACAGAAAGCUAUAAUAGUUUCAGUCCACCUGUUACCUCAUCCACAACUUCAACAGGUCCUGCACAUCGUAAUCAGAUUAAAUCAAACUACUCCUAGCUGUAAGAAUAAGAGGAAAUGCUAAAUUGGCAUGACAAAAGGAAAUUAUGUUCAUUAGAGGAGAGCAUUACCGAGAAUUGCCAUCACUGUUCUGGAAUCUGGAAAAGAAUAAAAAAUAAAUUAAUAAGUAGUAAAUGUAUACAAACACUUAUAUAACAGGUAUUUAUAUUAUGGAUACAACAACUAUAAUAUGUAACUAAUAUCAAAAGAAAAGCCAGUUUACUCAUUCUAACUACUGUCUAACAUGGAAACCAAACCAUUUUCUCACAUGGGAUAGAUAGAGUUACACAGUACAAAAUUCAGAAUGCAAACAAUAAUUGGCAUUUUCAAGCACAGAUUAAGCUUCAAUAUAUAAAAUUAGGAUUAUGGAAUGACCAUUCCAUUUUAGGUGGAAGCUGGAAAACUAUCUCUAGUUUCAAUUCCCUCUACAUGGCUUCUGCAGACAUGAUUUAAUCAAUAUCUAGAUGAUUAUUAUACCUGACAAUUGGCAUCAAGUGUAAGACACACUAGAAAUGCACUAAACUAGCACAAACACUGCUAAAAAGUCUAAACAUGUGGCAGAUGAUAAAAAUCAAUCAGCAACAAGUUCAAAACACUCACUCGGUGCAAUCUGUGUUCUCCCAGCAUCGAUUGUGAUAUGGGUGGGUAACUUCAGAGAUUUAGCCCUUUCCUAAAACAUUAAUCAAAUUUUGGGAAAAGUUACCUUCAGAUAGAACACCAUGCAUCUAAAAAAAUUCUAAGAGAAAAGAUAAUAAAAACAUGUAGCAAUGGCAUUUGGGGCAAGGAGGAUCAAAUUUUGGAGAAAUAGAAGCAAAUAAUGGAAGUCAAGGAUAAUGCAGACCAGAAUAACUAACUUGUUAACAAAGAUACUGCCAAAUAGUAGACAAAACAAAAUAGUCCAAACUACUUCAAACUGACAAUAUGUUUGGUUGAUAACAUAAUAAACCUUCUAUAUGCUAUUCUUUUUUGUUAAACUAGAGGAGCAAAUAAUUUACAUCCAUUACUACACUUUUCUAACAAAGAUUGUUAUAUCUUCCAAACAAGUUUCCAUUUAUGAAUAAUGGAAGAAAUAUUUGAAUUACAAAAUUAAGAAAAGCAGAUAGAGUCCAAUUGUUAUUAGAAUGAAGUUAAAGUAAUACAAAAUGCCUCAUUUUCUUCGAGAUCCAAAUUACACUAUCCCCACUCCCUAGCCAUUGUUUAUAUGCCAAAAUACACUAUCAUUUCUACAAAUCCAAAUAACUUUUUGGUAUUUCCCAUACAAUCUACAUUCUAGUCCAGUCUAAAAAUAAAUCAAAUUAUGUCGUUCAAAUAAGCUCUCCAGCCAAAUAAAUACACGGGAUAUUUUUUUAUUUAGAGUUUUCACUUAUGAAAGUUUUGUGUAGUAUGAAUCCCCCAUUUACUAAUCCUGCAUAAUCAACUUGUACAGCCUAAAUUACACAUAACUAAAAAUGCAACACAGAUAUUGACUUCCUUUGCCUUUUCCAUAUGAUUCAAUGAUAAUUAGCCAAAACAUUUCUUUUAAAACAGCUUUAAAGCAGUAUACAGUUGCAGCUUCCACUAAGUAUUAAAACACAUUUUCAAGUUUCAUGUUCGCAGACAAUAUUUCACAGUAAAGCCCAAACUUUCCUGCCUUACAUUGCUCUACAAACGCUAGAUUUUUCUCUCAUAGUCGUCCUCUAAAGCAAGCAAGUAUCCAACACAGAUCUUAAAUACAAUCCACAAGAACUUAGCUAAUGUAGCACAAAAUUGCCCUGAACAAUACUUACCUGCAAAGCCAGCAUAUCUUCUUCACUUUCAAUUUUGACAACAACCUUCGGCUGUGCAGACAUCUCCCACCUGCACAUUAACAUUGAACAAAGUUAGAUACAAUUCAAGGCAACCUGCAGGCACAACCAAGGUUGUAGCAGUACCUGUUCAAAGCCUUUGGGGCACGAUGAAGGAGCUUUUUAUAGAGACCCAAUGUUGCAUGACUAUAAAAGCACAGAGACAGAGUACUAAAUUAGAGUCACUGAUCAGGUUUUUAUGGAUGAAAUAAAGAUAAUAAAUAAAAAAACACAAUAAAAUCUGUUAUCAGUAUCAAUGCUAGUAUGCUUUUUACAAACCAAUCAAAUUAAAGGAUUUUAGUUGGCCUAAUGUCUCAAUGUGUGUUUGAAUUUCCAUUGAACACCACAAUCCAAUGGCAUAAUCCUACUUCUCAAAUCUACAAUCCAAUUAUCCAAGUUAAACUUAGCAUGUCAAAUUCUCGCUUUCAUUCUCCGGUUGCUAACUCAAUAUAUAUGAAAUCAAGUUUGCAUUUGCAUCAACACAUAAACAAACAAUAAUACAUUUGGAAGGAGGCAUUACCUGCAUUGAGCAGCAAUCUUUCCUUUACCCAUUUUGAGAUCAUUUCUAACAACAAGUAUCUGCAGGCAAAAAGAAACGAUUUAGAUAGCAACCCAGUAAAAUUGAGGUUGAGAAUUGGUGGAAAAAGAAGGAAUUAGUGGAUUACCAUCUUGAAAUCAUCGAGAAUGUCAGCGAGCUGUUCAACCUCAAGUGGGUCUUUGAGUUUGGAGUUACUACUGUUCUUCUUCUUCUUGUUCUUGCUACUACUGUUACUGUCAUCGUUGAGAAGUGAAGGUUCUUUGUCUUUGGAAGACAAUGAUCUUCUAUGUGGGAAGAGAAAACGAUGGGGAUACUGAGAACCAAUGAAGUAACCAAAAGCAGCACCAACCAAAAUGGCACUCAACCAUGUCAGUUCCAUCGUUCUCUUUGGAUCGGCGAUUUUAGGGUUUCAGAGGAGAACCAAACUCAGCCUCAGCCUAUUUUUUCGGCAACGCUCAUCGGACAAAUUGGAAUAUAAGAAAUGCAAAGCGUGACAAGGGUCACUUAUAUACAUAUAAUAGGGUUUUAUUAUUUAAAUACUAAAUUGUGCUUUUAUCUAAAUCUAAAUAUUAAGUAUUUCUUAACUUGUUUCUCUCCAUUAGCUGCUACAUGUAUGCUUUAAUCUUGGAACAAUGACAAGGUGUCCUGCUUCUACACAAGAUUUUGAUCACCUCUUUUGCCGGUGUGUGUGAAAUCAUUUUCAGACAUUGCUCACCGUUAUUCCUGAUGACACCUCUUUUCAUGAUUGGUUUCGUGCUCAAUUGCAAAAAACAGAAGUAUAUUCUUGUCAUCGCAAAUCUUUGAUGGACUUGAAAACGGUACAACAAUAACAUCUUGAUACUUAUAUUAGGCCUAUUAGUUAAGUUUUAUGAGUGGUGUUGAUAUAUGAUCAGGAGUUUAGGUGUUGGGAAAGACCAGCUAGUGUUGCCUUGGUUGUACCGAGGAUCACAAAGUUAAGGUGUGGUUCGUCUGAAUGUGGAUGGCUGUUGGGUUGCUAGUGUGCAACGUAGGGGAGGUAUCCUAUGUGAUCAAGACGGGUGUUGGGCCUUAAGCUAUUCUUGUGGUUUCAGUAAUGGAGAUGUUGGUUUAUGACAUUUCUUGAACUUGAGUUAUAUCCUGAGUGAGAGGUUUGUGAUUCUAAUCGUCUGGAGGUUAUCCAUAUUCUACCAAAUAAAUAUGAUAUUGUCACUUAUUGGUUGCGAGAUGUGAUUCAGGACUCUAUUGGACAGAAACUUGACUGUUUCAAUGUCUCAUAUCGUGAGAGACUGCAAAAAGAUCACAUGUGCUUUGCCUAAACACGCAUUUAGAGGUUACACUCCUCUUCUUUUCUUUUAUAACAUGCAAGACUAACGCCCAAAUAGCGAAAACUAAACAAGUCUAGCGUGCGAGACCCCAUUAACAUUAUAUAUGAUCAGGGAGAACAAAGAGUAUGGAACAUAUUUAUCAUUAAAACAGGGAGAACAAAGAGUAUGGAACAUAUUUAUCAUUAAAACUCAUCCUAUACAGCUUGUGACCAAGACCAGCAAGGUGAUCUGCACAGUUAUUAGCUUCCCUAAACACAACAUGGAACCGCACAUCACAAUCGAAAGCAGCAAUAAUAAAUAUAGCUUGAACCAAAUCAGUACAUGGAUGAGAAAUAGGGCACUUAACAGUGAUCAACUCCAAGGCCAGUUUGGAAUCCAACUCCAUCAAAAGAUGACACUCUUCUUUGAAAGUUCCUACCUUUCAAUAUUAUACCCCUUCUUGGCCAUGACUUAGCUGUGUAGUCUUCCAAUUGUAACAAAAAAAAACAUGGUCUUCUCCAAAGUCUUUGAAAUAUAUCGUUUACCUAACUCAAGCAUGAAUAUCACAAGUAAGAUGUUGAUUUGAGGUUUUAAAAUAUUCAAACUCACAUUUAAUUUCAUCUCAUUCUUAAUUUUUUUUAUAACUUUUCUAUUACUGGGUUUUGACAGUACCGUAUAUCCAACCAUGAUAAUGUACACAACAAGUAGACCAAUGCAUCGGUGCCUCCAACUUGAAGCAUUGAGCAUCGCCAUCAUCGACCAAAAAAAAAAAAAAACAAAUAUUAAUAUAAUGAUCACUCAAAACUCGUGCUAGAAAAAGUGCGGUGGUAGGUCACGACAUCAUUAUUGUGGAUGAUAUUUUCUACUCUCCUUACUCCUCCAUCACAUAUUCACAAGACACGAUCACACAGCCACAUAUCAGCACGUGUAACAUCAAUCAAUAUUCUCAACUCGUUACAAAAUCAUCACUACUCACUAGUAACAUAAACUCAUGACGAUAACAGAGCAAUUAGCGUUCAUCAACACAUCACAAUUCAGAAUAACUUUGAUUAAGGACAAAUUAAAUGCGCAAAAACAAUAAUAGUUGAAUAAGAAAACAAGGUAAUUAGCAUCAUAUUCUUCUUCAGAAUAAAAUUCAUCAGUUACGUGAUCAAACGCUACCAAUCAAUCCAAUCACAUAAAGUGAUAAAUUUUAUUCGGAAGAAUAUGAUGCUAAUGCGCACUAGAGUUGAAAACAUCCCAAUUCAAUACAUAUAAUUCAAUACAUAUAAUCAAAAAACCUAACUAGUAUUUCGAAUUUUCAAUAUCAUGGAUCGAAUUCCAAUGCAUUAAAAUACAUGACAUCACACUAAUCGCAAAAUCAAGCAUGCAUAUUUUAAGCGUUCACAAGCAAAACGACAAAAGUAAACAUAGAUCAAAGAUAUAAUAAGGUGAAUAAUAAUCCUAAUUUAUUAAAAGGUAGCUCAUCAUUUUAAAGUUUAUCUCAUCACAUGACUCAUACCCUACGAACGACAAAGUACAAAAUACCAAAGGGUUGGAUACGAUCGAUCAAGAGCGAGCAGCAUCACAAAAAACCCUAAAACGCACAACGAUAAAACAUAAAACGACACCGAAAUUCAAAACACAAAAUAGUCUAGAUCAGAGCCACCACCAUAGGAACAGAGUCAACAUCGUCUAGAGUUGACCGCAGUCGGCAACCACCACCGGCCUGGAGCACUUGCCGGAGCUAGAUCCAACCUUCUCGAUAUUCUUCACCACAUCCAGCCCCUCAACAACCUGUCCGAACACCACGUGCUUCCCAUCGAGCCACUCGGUCUUGGCAGUGCAGAUGAAGAACUGAGAUCCGUUGGUUCCGGGACCAGCGUUCGCCAUGGAGAGAAUGCCGGGGCCGGUGUGCUUCUUGACGAAAUUCUCGUCAGCGAACUUCGCGCCGUAGAUCGACUCGCCUCCGGUGCCGUUCCCGGCGGUGAAAUCACCUCCCUGGCACAUGAAGUUAGGGAUCACACGGUGGAAGGAAGAUCCCUUGUAGUGGAGUGGCUUGCCGCUGCGGCCGACUCCCUUCUCGCCGGUGCAGAGAGCGCGGAAAUUCUCGGCGGUGCGGGGGGUCACAUCAGCGAAAAGCUCCAUGACGAUGCGGCCGGCGGGUUGGCCACCGAUGGUCAUGUCGAAGAAAACCUUAGGGUUUGCCAUGGAUGCAGAGAGAGUGAUGAAGAGUGAAAAGGGAUUAGGGUUUGGCGAAUGAACGUGAGGACGAAGGUUAUUUAUAGUGGCGCGUGCAUCUGAAGACGUUGUGAAUUCACCGUUGGAUCAGGACACGUGGUGUGUUGUGAUGGAGUGAUGUAACUAUGGUUGAGUUAGGAAUUAACUAGGGUUAGUGGAGCGGAUCGAAGGAGGCGGAUAUGCUUAUGGGUGUGGACUUUUCAUGCACAAACAAACGACGCCGCUUCGUGCUUUAAUUCACUGUGUAUUUUUCGUUUUUUUUUUUAAUUUAAAAAUUUUGUAUUUUGGAAUCACUUUUUUGGGGGUUCAUGUGGGCCAAAUGAAUGUCGACGAGGAUUAAUAUAUCGAUGAUCAAUUCUCGAUGAAAUGUGGGGUUAUCACAAAUUUACUCCUAACAAGGUUAUUCCUCUGGUGCUGAUCAUCAUCAGCCUUUUCCCCUGUUGUAUGUUGGGCCCCUCACUUUUAGCAGGCCGUGUAUUGGGCUUCUUGCCUUUUUUAUCAAUGAAAUCCAUUAUUGACAAAAAAAAAAAAGCAUAACCCCAUGUUCAUCUAGAAGAAGUACCAUGAGGUUCUACCCAUCAUCGUUUACUAUGAUAGCUCUUCCCAACGCCAAUGAAAACACGCAUUGGAAUUUUAUUUGAAACUUUAAAAAUGAAAUUACAGGAAUAACCUUGAAUUUAAGUUGCCUUUAGGGAUGGCAACGAGUCUGGUCGGGCUCGGGUUUUACCAAUCCCAAACCCAAACUCAAACUCUCAUAUAAACCCAAACCCAAACCCAAACCCGUCAGGUUUUGGGUUUACCCAAACCCGUUGUAACCCUCAAAUUCACGUCAUAACCUAAAUUAAUGUAUAAAUUUUUUUGCAAAAUAAAAUGCAACUUGUAUUAUUUUGUUGUGAAAAAACAUUUUAUAUCUUUUUUUGUCAAAAAAUAUGAUACCUUAAUGUUCAAAUUUGAUCAAAUUGUUAACAAAUUAAGUUGUUAACCUGAUAUGUAAGAGUCAUUUUGCAAUUUUAUAUAUAAUGUUCGGGUUCGGGUGCGAGUUUCACCAAUACCAAACCCAAACCCAAACCUAAUCAUAUCGGGUUUGGGUUCGGGCGGACCCACGGGUUCGGGUUCCGUUGCCAUCCCUAGUUGCCUUUAACAAGAAUAUGUUGAGUUUAUUUUACAAAACUAAAAGUGUUAACCGUUAACUUUUUUUAUACUAACUUACUUUUUUGAUAAAAAAAAACUUACUUUUUCAUAAAUAUUUUGUAAAAAAAAAUACUUCUUCAUAAUUUUUUUUUUGUUAAAUUAGGACCACCUAGACUGAACAAGACUCAAUGGUGUCGAUUCUUCAAAAAAUUGGUCCUGGUGGAACUUGGUGAGAGGGAACUUUGGUCUUUGUAAGAUUUUGAGUAAAAUAGACUCAUCCCUAUCACUUCUUCAUAAAAUCAAAUUAGUAAAUUAGCAAACUCCACUUAUUUGGGUCAUGGAAGAUGAAUUUAAAAUAUUGAUAGUUUAUUACUUUAUUAUUACACGACCUUUUAUGCGAUUUGGUGACUUUGAAAAGUAGUGCGUUGAGUCAUACAAGAUGGAGCUCAGCUUAUUUGAUGCAUCAAAGUGCUAUUAAAUAUCAACGUUUUUGGGUCUUUAACCCGUCAUGUAAAAAAAAAAAUCAUCACUUUUUGGAAGCUUUUGAUGAGAUGAUGUUUAUAAUUAGGACCACCUAGACUGAACAAGAGUAGAAUGGAAAGAAUGGAAAACAGUAGAAUCGAUCUGUAGAUUUUUGUUGCCAUUUUAUGAUAGUACUACAUUGAUUUAUGACACACGUUAUCAUACUUCCAAUUUGUAUAUGUUACUAUAAAUUAGAAAAAAAUCAACGUGUCUUAAUAAAUAAUGCAAGAGAUGAAGAUACAAAAAGUAUGGUCGAGACUUGAGAGGAGAGGAUGAUCGUGUGCUGCAAAAUGCAAUUGAUGUGGUUUUGGACUCGCUAGUGAAGAUGGACACAUUAACCGUUUAAAGAAAGCUUUGAUCCAUAUACUUGGGAACUAAAUAUAUUCCACCAAAGGUCCUACUUCCAAUGCUCCAAAAACUAUUUGAGGCACAUCUUCAUCUUCCACUUUCGACACUCUCCCCAAGCCUAUUUGAUGGGGGACUUCCAUUGCAAGUUAUUCGAUCAAAUUGGAAAAUUGUUAAAUCCAUUGUGGGGCAUUCCAAAUGACCUUAUACAGUCAUACUUGUACAAUCCAUUUAUGUUUGAUUACUGCAGCACCAUAUAAUCAUUUGAGGGCUUAGUUCCCUUGUAUUAAUAGGCUGUAUUAAUUAAUUGCAAUUAUAUAUAGACAUUUAUACUCAUUAGUAAUCAUUUUUACUAGCUUGGAGGAAAUCACAAUUGUAAAACGACAGCGAAUUGAAAACACAAAAAAGUACAAGAUCAUCAGAUUCAUAUUCAGAGCAAUAAUUGAAGAUAGCGCGAUCGGUUUGGUUAGGUCAAUAAAUCAUCUAAGAGAUUUGACCACAGUCGGCGAUCUUCACCUCCUUCUUGGUCGACCCACUCCGCGAUCCAAAUUUCUCGAUCUCCAUCACCACAUCCAGCCCCUCAACCACCUUCCCGAACACCACAUGCUUCCCAUCCAGCCACGACGUCUGAGCAGUACAGAUGAAGAACUGAGAUCCAUUAGUCCCGGGACCGGAGUUCGCCAUCGACAGAAUGCCAGCUCCGGUGUGCUUCUUCACGAAAUUCUCGUCAGCGAACUUGGAUCCAUAGAUCGACUCUCCGCCGGUGCCGUUCCCGUUGGUG
Molecule: long non-coding RNA, 29803 nt
Filed under: Lotus japonicus
Lineage: Eukaryota; Viridiplantae; Streptophyta; Magnoliopsida; Fabales; Fabaceae
Description: long non-coding RNA (LJAP_LNC001725)
Source: RNAcentral